GAUGAACGCUAGCGAUAGGCUUAACACAUGCGAGUCGAGGGGUAACGUGUUGGAAGCUUGCUUCCGAUGACGCCGACCGGCGGAUGGGUGCGUAACGCGUAUGCAACUUGCCUCACAGUGGAGAAUAACCCGGAGAAAUCCGGACUAAUACUCCAUACACUCUUAAGUACGCCUGUACAUGAGAGGAAAGAUUUAUCGCUGUGAGAUAGGCAUGCGUCCUAUUAGGUAGUUGGUGAGGUAACGGCUCACCAAGCCGACGAUAGGUAGGGGUGCUGAGAGGCAGAUCCCCCACAUUGGGACUGAGACACGGCCCAAACUCCUACGGGAGGCAGCAGUGAGGAAUAUUGGUCAAUGGAGGAAACUCUGAACCAGCCAAGUCGCGUGAAGGAAGAAUGUCCUAAGGAUUGUAAACUUCUUUAGCGAGCGAGUAAGGACUUCCACGUGAUGGGAGUUUGAAAGUAGCUCGAGAAUAAGUAUCGGCUAACUCCGUG
RNAcentral lists this ribosomal RNA (491 nucleotides) under uncultured bacterium. RNAcentral describes it as "partial 16S ribosomal RNA". It matches the Rfam family "Bacterial small subunit ribosomal RNA", at positions 28 to 507 of the family's 1533-position model. The record is from RNAcentral.